Long non-coding RNA from Lontra canadensis (Northern American river otter), 254 nucleotides. RefSeq lists it as uncharacterized. The record is from RefSeq and is a predicted model, not a curated record. NCBI's taxonomy places the organism in Eukaryota, Metazoa, Chordata, Mammalia, Carnivora, Mustelidae. The transcript is spliced from 2 exons.
GGCCCUUCAUCGACCAAGGAGACGCGGCCUAGUGAAAUGAGGGGUGUGGCUAAGGGAGAGAGCGGCUUCCCUGGAGGCCGGGGCGCGCGACCUGAUUAUCUCGGUGUUCCUUGUGAGCUCUGAGUAGGUAUGAUGGAAAUGUUCCCAAACUGGAUCGUGGUGAUGAUUGUGCUGUAAAUUUACUAAAACUCAUUGUACACUUCGGUGAGUUUUGCAGCAUGUAAAUUAUACCUAAGUAAAGUUGUUUUAAAGUA